Molecule: long non-coding RNA, 3000 nt
Organism: Dreissena polymorpha
Lineage: Eukaryota; Metazoa; Mollusca; Bivalvia; Myida; Dreissenidae
Exons: 3
Source: RefSeq, a predicted model, not a curated record
GAUGGUACGAAUGGAUUCUAUGAAAAUACAUUGUGACGUCAUUAUUAAGAAACUACAGCCUUAUUUCGUUUUCAUGUUCUUAUCAUUUUCAAUUCUCUUUUCAGCAAUGAAAGUCAAUUUGGGCAGGCCGGUGAAGCUCAAUUCAACAGUGCAAAAUGCCCAUAAUAUCACUUAAAGAAGAUGGAGGCUCGUGCUCGGGAGGCCAUCAAGAAAAUCUCAACUGCGUCGUCUAACAAGGCUGCCAUUGAUGCUUAUGAGAAAGAAAUGGAUUCGAGGUACAGUAAUGCCUGAUAUUACUCAGAUUGCUGCUGUGCAGCUGAAGACGGGUUUUAAGUUCUCGACAUAUGUGAGGACAACAAUGCCAAUUUCUUCCGAAGCUCAGAAAGUGAUUGGCAUCUCUGUUGAUGAUCAUGGCAUAAUGUGUGUAAAUGGUGGAAGUGUUGAUAGUGUAUAAAUUAAAACUUCUCUACAUGAUUGUAUGAUGUGGCUUGCAAAGUUUCCCAGAGCCAUUUUUGUUGCUCAUAAUGGGCGCAGGUUUGAUUUUUCGGUUUUGGUUAGUGAAUUGCUGAACACACACUGUUUUGAAACAUGUAAAAUUACUGACAAUAUGGCCCACAUCUUUACUGUUACUGCAAUCCAUAAUUCAGUUUGUUUAAGUCAUGAAAAGCCAUAAAGGCAAAGAACACUAGAUUGUUUGACGUGCAACUGCAUAGAGGAACUCUAAAGCGACCAACAGCUGAAAACAUUGCGGGAUAUGGACUGGCCUUGUGUCAUUUGAAAGCCAUAUUUUCUAGUUCCGGAGAGGAUGACUUUGGGAUACUUUAAUUGCUAAAAACAAUGAGGGGCUUCCAAAAGUCACAAACGCAGAAAAAUAUUUUUUGUCUGAAGUGGUCCCUAAAAUCGGUCAGUUUUUCAGUGACGAAAAGUGACGGAACGAGAUAAUAUGGCUUUCAAAUGACACGCGGCCAGUCAAAAUCACGCAAUGGCUUUAUACUGAUACUAAAUUAUGUACAUCUAGUUGUCAUUAAUCUGGCUGUUUGUAUUAAAAUAUAAGUUGUAUAUUAUUGUGCUACAUGCUUAAAGAAACAUGAUAACUUAUACAUCUUUAUGCUACGUAAUAUUGGGACAACUUUGACAUUUUGUGGUGAACUGCGCCUGUAUUCAUAUGUUGCCUUUUGACUUAAGGUGACCUUAAGAUUGUAUUAUUAGCUCAGCUGUUUUCGGAGAAAACUCCGAGGUAUUGUCAUAGCCUCUUCGUCGUCCGACGUCUGCCGUCGUGCUAAAACCUUUACAUUGGCUCUUAAAUUAAAGUGCUUCCACCUACAACUUUUAAACUUCAUAUGUACAUGCACCUUCAUGAGUUCUACACACCACAUUCUUUUUUUGGUCACUAGGUCAAAGGUCAAGGUCACUGUGACCUGUAAUAUAAAACUUUAACUUUGCCUCUAACAUCACAAUUCUUCCACCUACAACUUUGAAACUUCAUAUGUAGAUGCACCUUGAUGAGUUCUACACGCCACACCCAUUUUGGGUCACUAGGUCAAAGGUCAAGGUCACUGUGACCUCUAAAAAAAAAAAAAAAAAAAUUCUGACAAGCUUUCGCAGUAGAGCGUGGCACCCGCUAUGCGGUGCUCUUGUUAAUGUAUUUUUAUAUCAAUAUUAAUUCAAAGUUAGCUAAAUUUCUUCACAUGUCAUGGUUUAUAACUGUAGCUUUUAAAAAGAAGUGAUAUACAAAUUUAUACUUAAAUUCAUUGCGUGAAAAUGAAUUGGGGUAGGCAUUCUCAAAGUAAAAUUUCUUGAGAUAGGAACGGUAAAACUUCCUGAAAUUCAUUCAGUGUGUAGAAAAUAUGUUGUGUUAAAUAAAUAUGUACAAUAUAUGCAUUUCAUCACACUACAAGUGACAUAAAACGUAAUUAAAGUUUCUUGUCACUGAACCAUUUGUUGUCGUUUUUGCCAUUUUAUCCGGAUAAGUGUAUAUAUUAUUGGACAUUAAAGGCACAAUUCUCUUUCAAUGACACUUUUUAAUUCUGUAUCUACUAACAAAAUCCAGUCGAGUAGGUUUAUUAAGUUAAUUGUCAAAAUAUAUGUAUAUCCCAUUACAAAUAACUAUAUAUUUUGGAUAUAGGGUAAAUCCAUAGAAAACGCCCAACCGAGUCAAGGGGUAGGUGUAUUCAACCAAAUAUAAAAAGUUAACCGGCUGGUAUAAAGUUUUAAAAUUUUGCAAUUAGUUGUGAUAUACAAUUUACUAUGUGGAUAUAAUAACAAAGAGUGUUUCUGGAAAAGUACCCAUUAGGCUCCCACUACCGUAAUAUCUUAGUUUGAAGGUGAUUUUUCAAGCGGUUCCGUAGUGUAGUGGUUACAUGCUGGCUUCACAUGUGAGAGGUCCAAGGUUCGAGCCCCAGUAGAAUCAAAUUAUUUUAUUUGUGUUCUAUGUUAACUGUUUGUUUUGAUGUAGACAUUUUAGUUUAAAUAAAUAUGCUGUUUUGUUGUAACCAUUUUUUGUUUUUAUUAUGCCCAUGAAAUAUAUGUGUGAGAGGGUGGGGGGGUUGCAAACACAUUAAAACCUUCUUUGUUCCACUAUCCUAGCAACUACCUAGUUACUAAUAAAGGCGCUAUAGAGCGCGAAGCGCGACACGUAUUAUUAAUUGUAAUAAUGAGUCUUGAUAAAGGAAGCAGCCGCUUAUCAAUUAGGAGCACCAUCACAGCACCCCAGUCUUAAUACAAUCAAGUCCUCCUACAGUUUUUUUUUUUUUAAACACAUAUAGAAGGCCGCAGGCCUGACCCGUAUCUUGCCAGUGGUAUGGACCCUUUGGUAUGGACCUUUAACCCCGCUCACUAUCCAGCGUUUAAACUUCCGGGUUUACAUUUAAACCGACUAUAAAUAGCUUAUUAAUAUCUUAGUUAGAAGGUGAUUUUUCAAGCGGUUCCACAGUGUAGUGGUUACAAGCUCGCUUCACAUGUGAGAGGCUCAAGGUUCGAGCCCCAGUAGAAUCAAAUUAU